CAAUAGCGUAUAUUAAAGUUGUUGCGGUUAAAACGCUCGUAGUUGGAUUUCUGUUGAGGGCAGCCGGUCCGCACUUCGUGCGUGUAUCUGGUUUGACCACGGCAUCCUCUCAAAAUACGUUUCUGCGCUUGAUUGCGUGGAGCGGAGUUUGAGACUUUUACUUUGAGGAAAUUAGAGUGUUCACGGCAGGCAAUCGCCUUGAAUAUAUUAGCAUGGAAUAAUAAUAUAGGAUCUUGGUUCUAUUUUGUUGGUUUCUAGAGCUAAGAUAAUGAUUAAUAGGGACAAUUGGGGGCAUUCGUAUUAACGCGUCAGAGGUGGAAUUCUUGGAUUGCGUUACGACGAACUACUGCGAAAGCAUUUGCCAAGGAUGUUUUCAUUG
Molecule: ribosomal RNA, 379 nt
Filed under: uncultured eukaryote
Lineage: Eukaryota
Description: partial 18S ribosomal RNA
Rfam family: Eukaryotic small subunit ribosomal RNA
Source: RNAcentral